GAGAGAGAGAUUGGCCAGCUCCCAGCCCCCCGUCCCCAUAGGCAAGCCUCCUCUCUCUCUCCUCUCUCGUGAGCCCUCUCUCCCCCGCGACUCCUCGCCGCCGCCGCCGCCACGGCCACUCGCGCCGGCCGAUUCCGUCGAGUCCGACAGCGGGUGGCAGACUGAAGACCUUCCCUCGCUCUGCUCCUUCCUCCCAUCCCUCCAGAUCCGGCCUCCCGCGCUCGCUGCCGACCCUCAGCCAUGGCUAGGGUUACGGGCGCGGCGUCCCCUUCGUCGCCGGCGAGGCUUUGGCGGCCUGCGGUGGCUCGUCCCGCCCACGUGUGGCUCCGCCUCAUGGACGUUCCUCUUCAGCGGCGUCGCCGGACUAGCUCCACGCGCGGGUUCGCCAAGGUGAGUGCGAUGCUGAUGAGAGACGGCAUCCGAGGACAUCAUCACGCUCAACUCGAGCUGCUCCCCCACCGUCCCGCAGCCCGCUGCUGCUCCCACCCCCCGCCCCCUCUCCUCUCCCGUCGCCGGGAAAUGGCUACACCACCAGCUCCGCCGCCUCAACGUCCUCGACCACCAGGUUAACCAAAACUUUGCAAGUUGAUGCUCUCAGGGUAGGACUCCGAAGUCUGACAAGCACUUCCGCUUCAACCAGAGUCACCUACAGCAAUAGGUGCUCCAAUGCAUAUUCGACUUGUUGUGCUACAGAGCCAGUGCUCCAAUGCAUAUUCGACUUGUUGUGCUACAAAGCCAGAAGCGCUACCAGUGGAAACACCCUCAUCGGAUAUGCUUGUUGAUUCCUUCGGGAGGUUCCACAACUACUUGAGGAUCUCCUUGACUGAACGCUGUAACUUGAGAUGUCAAUACUGCAUGCUUGCCUUAGUCUAGAGACAUUAAAUAUUAGUUUGAACACAUUGGUUCCUGCAAAUUCGGAGGCAAAGAAAGUCCACUGAAGAAGCUCUCUGUAACUGCUAUUUAGUCUUCAAACACACAUGCCUAUUAUAUCAUGGAGGACUAUUUUAGUGAGCAUUGUUAAAUAGUAGUAUAUGGAAGAUGUGGCUUCAACUGUCCGAAAUUUCCACUUUGAGCUCACAAGUAGUUAUUUCUGUAAGCCAUUGUUCUUGUUCUCUUUCUUUUGUUUAGCCCUUUUCUGAACUGGCAUAGGUUUCGUUGGCAACCUUCCCCUACACCACAACCUAUGUUCCAUAAGCAAGUUUAUUUAUACUGCCCAAAAUUUACUAAUAUGGGUUGGAUCAUGCAUUUGCAACUUAUAGUGUUUGUUCUUUUUAUUGUGCUAUUAACUCAGCACCUUACAAAAGUUGUGUCUUUGAAAUAAUGGUCAAACUGCUCUCUGCAGUCCUAUCAUUAAUUAUGAUUUUGAAGCAAAACUAUCAGUAUCUAAUUCUAACAGUAUGAUAGCACCCUGGUUAUAUUUGUAGGUUUUUAGGCUGGGCGCAUAUAUGUCAUAUUUUUCAUCAAUAAAAUAGCUUAUAAUAUGUAACUACAAAAGACGAGUAAAACCUGUUCACUGGAACCAUAGAAAAGCUAUUCCUUUUACGUUUGGUGAGCACAAAACAUACAUAAAGAUUUUGAAUCUGCAUUUAUUGAACUCUCUACAGGCCUACUGCAUUCGGAUUUAUUGUUCCGUACUGGAAGUGCCUGAAGAGCUUGAAUCGUCCAUUUUGUAUUAGAAUGAGAUUUAAGAUUCAGUACAGGAGUCAAGAUGUUAAUGAGAGGCGAUCUAGAAUGAUUACAGGUAUUAAUGAAGUAGACCCCAUUAGGUGGAUUGGUUCAAAAUGGAAAAGCCUGCUGGUAGGUAUUCCGAUCGUUUGUAUUAAGCAUUUAUGUUCUUAGCAAUUCAGAACACUAUUAUCUUUGGAUUUCCUUGCAGUAUUCUAGAAACAUGUAUUUUCUUUCGGACCUUUUAUGUUGUCUGACCAUGAAUUUGGCUUAAAAUGCUCCUGGUGAGGCUUCAAAGUGACACAGUGUGCCAAGGCCCACCGUCACAUUCAGGUUCAUUCACCCUGAAAUUUAUUUAGAGCAACUUGCCUAUCCAUCUUACAUCCUUACAAAAAAGUGUGUUCCCAUGGAGCCUGAAAUGCACUUUUGUAGAUUUUAACUUUUGGGUAGGGGUACUUUUUUAAACAUAGCAUGGUUAUGAAAAUGUCUAAUUAGAAAAAUGAAUUGAUAUGAGGAGUUAUGUCCUAAUUUGCUCUAGAUGUAGAUCACUGAAGAUGCAUUAAGAGUUGUACCUUCUUAUCAAGCAUGAAUUUAUAGUCGGACGGUUCACUGGUUAUCUGUGAACUGAAAUGAUGCCCUCUUGUUCAGGUAAGAUGGGAUGAUGGCUCAGACUGUAACAGCCAAAAUAAACCAUCUCCAUGGGAGAUCGAGAUAGUUGGUGGCUCAGUCUCCAUUGCCCAGUCUGUCAAAAUCCAGUUCUAAACUAGCUAAACUGUGCCCUCGGGGCAAUUUAGACGUCUCAAACUAAAGCAACUCGAGUUGCGGUGGUGGUCCGCAACUCCAUCACCGUCUUCCUCGGCAGGAGCAUCCGCCGCUGCUGCUCGCCGUCUGUCCACGGCACCGGUGUUGGUCUCCUUCUCACCUUCCGUGCUCUCUUCCCAUCCCGCCUCCCACUGCCGCCACCACUGCUCGAGGAUGCCCUGUGGAUUUGGAUUUUUCACAAUCGGUACACAGUAAAGUACUUUUGGAUUGGCCGGGCGGUGAGCUGCAGUGCCGCUAGCUCGUCGACGACGGCUACGAUGCCAUCUGUGGCGUCCCUUGGUUCUUUCUCCUCGACAUCGACCUUCUUGACGGUAUGGUCUUCCUCCUCUUCCCCUCCCUUAAUUUCUAUGGUUUUUAAGUUGGUUCAGUAGUUGAUUCACGGUCCAUGAGUUUGGAUAAAACGACAGGCGGCGGCAGAAAGAGCCGUUCCACGACGAAUCUCUGGUACAAUGGCUCCUUCCUCGGUUUCCCCGGUUCUGGAUUCAAGUUCCUAAUAAAUGGAUACUGUUUUUUCUUGAUUGUGACUUUUGGAAUUUUUUAUUUGAUAGAUGAGAGGGCAAGCAAAAGGUGAUCAAUCAAUGGAGACGAAGUAUUUGUCAAAUUGCUUGCAAGGGUGGUGAGAAUUUAUUGGUCGUCAUUUGUCUAGUGUCAUAAUCUUAGAGCCUUUUCUGAUUCUCUAGAAUGUUGGAACAGUCUUGUUGUUUCAGUUUACAUUUGGAUGGUCAUGGUCUGUGCAGAUGAAGUUCUUUUGGAUUAAUUUUUCCACCCUAACAGUUCCUUCCCUGUUAUAUCUCAGGCUGUACGAUCUCUGCAGAUUGCCGCUUCUUUGUUCUGCCGGUGGAGGUUCAGUGUAUCAUUGCAAGUUCCUUACACCGGCAAAUUCAGUAUUUUUGUAUUUUUUGGACGCACGCCUGUUCUUCGACUAUAAAACAGCAGAGAUUUCUUUUUUUCUCGAGUCUAAUCAUUUUUUGAUGCAUUGCAGCUUUGCUAUCAAACUCUCAAAAAGGAAAAAGCAACUUUAUUCUAAUUUUUGGAGAUCCUUCAUGUAGAGUCACUACCUCGACAGAGACAAAUAUGCAAUCGAGAAUAUAUUCGAUGGGUUUUCACUCCUCAGGCAAAGCUUGGAGGAUAUUUUUACUGGUUCAACGUUUGCUUUAUUGCUUUCUUACCUUUCGUUCUUCAAGACAAUAUUUUCCUAGCAGUGCUCGAUAACUUUAAAUCCAUCUUUUUGUUCUUUGCAUUAUCACAAAACAGUGUUGUUCUACCUUUUUGUUUUUGAAUUUUGAUUGAUCAUGAGCAACGACAAUGCAACCUACAAGUAACUAUUAUGUUUUCUCCAGUCCUCUGUCCAUAUUCUAUUAAUUGGUGACUUAUCUAUACGUAGUUAAUACACUCGGUUGUAGUUUUAUAUCAUGUUUCCUUUAGGUUUGUACGUAGGAUGUUCCUUUUAUUUUUUAGACUCUAAUGUUCCUGAUGACUACAUACAUCUUGCUGUUUUGGAAACUGCUUCUUGGGAAUAAUGUUGGAUCUUUCCUGAGAUGGUUUACUAUAUUAAUCCCUUGAAAUCAUUAGGCCAGUAAUAAAGGUUGCAUUUCAUCACAUUGAGGUAACAUUCUAAUUUGUGCUAUCUCAGGUUCAGAAGGUUGGUGAAACCCGAAGGUCACGGGAUCAACACCUCUUGGUGCAAACAACCUUUCACUUAUGAUAUUUGUAUUCUGUUGAAACUGCAAAAUAUCAUUCCAGGGUUGAAUGCCUAAAUGUUGAUAUCUGCAUGCUUCUAAAUUUACAUCGUGAAUCAUAUUUAUGCUGCUACGUUUUUCCCAAGAUUUGUAUUAUUUCGUCCAAAGCGUGAUAAUGUGCACUACAUUUGUAUUGCUCUAUCGUAUUUUUACAUUUGCAUC
This is an RNA transcript of Triticum aestivum (bread wheat), 4388 nucleotides long. It is a transcript of the gene named auxin response factor 3, with no coding region annotated. The record is from RefSeq and is a predicted model, not a curated record. The transcript is spliced from 4 exons. NCBI's taxonomy places the organism in Eukaryota, Viridiplantae, Streptophyta, Magnoliopsida, Poales, Poaceae.